AGUGAACGCUGGCGGUAGGCCUAACACAUGCAAGUCGAACGGCAGCACAGUAAGAGCUUGCUCUUACGGGUGGCGAGUGGCGGACGGGUGAGGAAUACAUCGGAAUCUACUUUUUCGUGGGGGAUAACGUAGGGAAACUUACGCUAAUACCGCAUACGACCUACGGGUGAAAGCAGGAGAUCUUCGGAGAUUGCGCGAGUGAAUGAGACGAUGUCGGAUUAGCUAGUUGGCGGGGUAAAGGCCCACCAAGGCGACGAUCCGUAGCUGGUCUGAGAGGAUGAUCAGCCACACUGGAACUGAGACACGGUCCAGACUCCUACGGGAGGCAGCAGUGGGGAAUAUUGGACAAAGGGCGCAAGCCUGAUCCAGCCAUACCGCGUGGGUGAAGAAGGCCUUCGGGUUGUAAAGCCCUUUUGUUGGGAAAGAAAAGCAGCAGGUUAAUACCCCGCUGUUCUGACGGUACCCAAAGAAUAAGCACCGGCUAACUUCGUG
RNAcentral lists this ribosomal RNA (492 nucleotides) under uncultured bacterium. RNAcentral describes it as "partial 16S ribosomal RNA". It matches the Rfam family "Bacterial small subunit ribosomal RNA", at positions 29 to 507 of the family's 1533-position model. The record is from RNAcentral.